GACGAACGCUGGCGGCGUGCUUAACACAUGCAAGUCGAACGGAAAGGCCCUGCUUGCAGGGUGCUCGAGUGGCGAACGGGUGAGUAACACGUGGGUGAUCUGCCCCUUACUUUGGGAUAAGCCUGGGAAACUGGGUCUAAUACUGGAUAGGACCAUGCUGUAGGUGGUGUGGUUGAAAGAUUAGUUUCGGUAAGGGAUGAGCUCGCGGCCUAUCAGCUUGUUGGUGGGGUAAUGGCCUACCAAGGCGUCGACGGGUAGCCGGCCUGAGAGGGUGGACGGCGACAUUGGGACUGAGAUACGGCGCAGAGUCCUACGGGAGGCAGCAGUGGGGGAUAGUGGACAAUGGGCGCAAGCCUGAGGCAGCGACGCCGCGUGGGGGAUGACGGCCUUCGGGUUGUAAACUCCUUUCAGCCAUGACGAAGCCCUUGUGGUGACGGUAGUGGAAGAAGAAGCACCGGCUAACUACGUG
Molecule: ribosomal RNA, 469 nt
Filed under: uncultured bacterium
Lineage: Bacteria
Description: partial 16S ribosomal RNA
Rfam family: Bacterial small subunit ribosomal RNA
Source: RNAcentral